CGGAGAGGCCGAGGUGAUCGCCGGUGACGCCACGCAAGUGACGGCACGGGAGGAAAGUCCGAGCUUCGCAGGGCAGGGUGCUGGUUAACGGCCAGUCGAGGUAACUCGCAGGACAGUGCAACAGAAAGCAAACCGCCGGCCGGCGAUCACAUCAAUGGCAGGUAAGGGUGAAAGGGUGCGGUAAGAGCGCACCGCUCCGUUGGUGACAACGGAGGCUAGGUAAACCCCACCCGAAGCAAGACCAGACAGGGGUCGUGCUGCCCGCACGAUGACUCCGGGUUGGUCGCUGGAGCCCGUCAGCAAUGGCGGGCCUAGAUGAAUGAUCGCCACGACACAGAACUCGGCUUACCGACCUCUCCGCCGA
This 364-nucleotide RNase P RNA is filed under the name Deltaproteobacteria bacterium. RNAcentral describes it as "RNase P RNA component class A". It matches the Rfam family "Bacterial RNase P class A". Rfam says of the family: Ribonuclease P (RNase P) is a ubiquitous endoribonuclease, found in archaea, bacteria and eukarya as well as chloroplasts and mitochondria. Its best characterised activity is the generation of mature 5'-ends of tRNAs by cleaving the 5'-leader elements of precursor-tRNAs. The record is from RNAcentral. Lineage: Bacteria; Pseudomonadati; Myxococcota; Myxococcia.